This is a long non-coding RNA of Magnolia sinica, 818 nucleotides long. RefSeq lists it as uncharacterized. Lineage: Eukaryota; Viridiplantae; Streptophyta; Magnoliopsida; Magnoliales; Magnoliaceae. The transcript has 2 exons. The record is from RefSeq and is a predicted model, not a curated record.
AUUCUGACAGCUGGCGUUCUUCGAGCAUUCGUUCGACCCACCACAUUCCCCAUCCAUCCACCACCCCAACUCCACCGUUUGGAAAUCUAGCGACACCGCCGUAUCGUUGCGAAUGUCCACCGCGACGGACGAGAACAGUUUAGAUAAUCUAACCUACGAUCCAGCAGAGCUAUAGGUAUUGCGCAACCCGAGACAACCGAGCUGCAGUUUUGCAGCAGCAGCCCGUUCCGCCACGUCGGCGCGUAGUUCUGACCGAAGAGAUCUCUGACGGUUGUGAUCGGACGGCCGCAUUUCGCUGGCAGAUCGAGCAGGAGAGCUUCCGGCGUAACGUUUCGGACACGGAAAUCGCCGACAUGGAUUUCCCCGUGGGUGCAAGUCAAACGGAUUUGGCAGCCGUCAGAGAAUCCGAACGGGUACGGGACAGGCGGGACACCACCGCACGAGCGAUUGCAGGCGCUGGGUCGUUGAGCGGCGACGAUGGGCAAAACGAGAAUUGCGAAGAGGCAGAGUCGAAGUGGAGGGAAAGUCAUCUUCCGGAGUAGAAAAGACGGGAUUUUUCGACUCGGUAAGCAGAAAAAAGGUUCGAUUUCUCAGAUGAUUUGAGUGAUCGAUCGGGAAAGAUCGGACGGCUGAAAAUCGAGGGCUGCGAUUGAUUGACGGCGUGAAAAGGAUCUCCCCUGCAAUUCUUCAAAAUGAUUUGAAAUUUCUGUGAGAUUUAGUAGAAUCGUAGAUUUCGUCACGACUGCGAUUGCUGGUUUUUCCGUUCCUUGUACUUCGUUUUGGAAUUUAGGGUUUGGCUUUGAGGAGAUAGGGAAAAA